Molecule: ribosomal RNA, 438 nt
Filed under: Triticum aestivum (bread wheat)
Lineage: Eukaryota; Viridiplantae; Streptophyta; Magnoliopsida; Poales; Poaceae
Description: partial small subunit ribosomal RNA
Source: RNAcentral
AUGUCACUAUUAUCUAAGGCACGGAGUUGCAAUGAUACAAUCGAGUCUCUUGACAGGGGUGAAAGGGAAGUACUGCGCGUAGUGUAUACAGGAUUUGUCGAAACAAUCACAAAGCUCUUUCCAGCAGUUGCUACGUUAUCCUGUCACCUCCAACCAUCAGCUGCAGCUAGCACAUCAUCUGUGCAUAGUCAUGGCAGGCAUGACUUGUUAUUGCCCUGUAACGAGUCGUCGUGCACAACUCAAAGGGUGAUCCUGAGGAGGAGGAAAAGAGCGGAAAGGGCAAUGUCCGAUGAACCAUCAAAAAGAGCGCACACGGAAGUAGGGCUUUCUGCUGCUUUAUCUGAAUGCAAUGAAUCUGCUGCUGAGGUAUUCAGAUGUUUGUCAUGCUUCUCCUUCUUCAUUCCAACAGGUAUUGAUAUGAGCCACUUUUUGUUUUGA